UGAGGAAAUGAAGGUAGUCAAAUCAUAUAGUGAACGUUUUUUUUUUUGUACACAGAAUGAACAAAUGAUUAAAAAACUCUCAUUGGUUGAGUUUAAAAACAAAGGAAGUUGACAAUUUUAAUCAUAUCUCAUUUUUAAAACGCACCUUAUAUAAAAUCAGAUCAAUAGCAAAAAUAAUCAAUUUCAGCCAAAUCUUUAAUUUUAUAAACUAAGAGAAAACAAAAUAAAACUUUUUAUAUUACUCGAAUCCAAUAUUAAAAAAACUGCCGAAAUACCGGCCAGACCUCAUUAUGAACCUGCAAACUGUAAUUAAGACUUAAUCAUAAUUCUGACCUAUAAAAGAAAUAAUAUAUACAUAUAUGAAUAUAGAAAUAUAUAUAUGAAACUUUUGUUCUGC
Long non-coding RNA from Aphis gossypii (cotton aphid), 397 nucleotides. RefSeq lists it as uncharacterized. Lineage: Eukaryota; Metazoa; Arthropoda; Insecta; Hemiptera; Aphididae. The record is from RefSeq and is a predicted model, not a curated record. The transcript is spliced from 3 exons.